RNAcentral lists this ribosomal RNA (407 nucleotides) under uncultured Nitrospina sp. Its description in RNAcentral is "bacterial SSU rRNA". It matches the Rfam family "Bacterial small subunit ribosomal RNA", at positions 30 to 410 of the family's 1533-position model. The record is from RNAcentral. Lineage: Bacteria; Pseudomonadati; Nitrospinota; Nitrospinia; Nitrospinales; Nitrospinaceae.
AUUGAACGCUGGCGGUAGGCCUAACACAUGCAAGUCGAACGGCAGCAGACCGUGACAAUCCCUUCGGGGUGCGUUUGGUGCUGGCGAGUGGCGGACGGGUGAGUAACACGUGAAUAAUCUGCCCUCGAGAUCGGGAUAACCUGAGGAAACUUAGGCUAAUACCGGAUAAGACCACAUUUCAUAUGGAAUGUGGGAAAAGGAGUCUCAAUCUUCACUCGAGGAUGAGUUCGCGGACCAUUAGCUUGUUGGUGAGAUAAAAGCUCACCAAGGCAACGAUGGUUAGCCGGCCUGAGAGGGCGAUCGGCCACACUGGAACUGAGACACGGUCCAGACUCCUACGGGAGGCAGCAGUGGGGAAUAUUGCGCAAUGGGCGAAAGCCUGACGCAGCAACACCGUGUGAGCGAUG